GACCUCGGAUCAGGUAGGGAUACCCGCUGAACUUAAGCAUAUCAAUAAGCGGAGGAAAAGAAACCAACAGGGAUUGCCUCAGUAACGGCGAGUGACGG
Molecule: ribosomal RNA, 98 nt
Filed under: Anzia hypoleucoides
Lineage: Eukaryota; Fungi; Ascomycota; Lecanoromycetes; Lecanorales; Parmeliaceae
Description: partial 28S ribosomal RNA
Rfam family: Eukaryotic large subunit ribosomal RNA
Source: RNAcentral